Labrus bergylta (ballan wrasse) is the source of this 1145-nucleotide non-coding RNA. The record is from RefSeq and is a predicted model, not a curated record. Lineage: Eukaryota; Metazoa; Chordata; Actinopteri; Labriformes; Labridae.
CUCCUUCUGUUCUUCCAUUUGAUUCUCUUUUCUUUUAUUCUUUCCCUUUUUUAUUUGAGUCUUUCUGGGAAGAAGAUCCCCGUAUGUUUUUAUGUAAUGGGCAUAUUUGUGCUUACAGUAGGCAAACAAGAACAUGUUAUCUUUUGAUAUUUAUUUUGACAAGUAUUUGUAAUCAUUGUAAGCGCUAAUAUCGUGUGGCUUAUAGUGCUGCAAAUCGUUUAUGAAGUAUUAAUUAACAAAGCCUAGGCUAAAUUGUUUGAAUGAAAAUGAGUAGAGGCAAUCUUUAGGUUCGACCCUAAAAUCAAUUUGAACAUAUUAUCCAUUCUGCACACUCAGAAUAGAUUAAAUACAGCGAGAUAUUUCCUCUGAUGCUGAUUUCUGUGUAAUAUUCACAUGCUUCCUAUACAUUAAAACACACUGAAUGGGAAAACCAUUAAGACUUGUUCAAUGAUGUUUCAUCCGAGGCUGGUUAGAUGUCACAAUGGGGAGUUAUGAGAGGAAAAAAAUGAAGUAAAGGUUGUUUUUUUUGUCGCAGAAAAUAUGAAAAGAUAAGGACUAAUUCAUAUAAAUCAAAGAUAAAUGGCUGAAAUAUCUGUGUAUUGUACAAGUCAGAGGACAUUUUGCACAGCCCACGCAGCAGGUGGCGGUAAUGCACAGACAUGAAAAUACACAUAUGACCAGAAGAAGAAAACUCGAAGCGCCUGGGUGGAGAAAUGUAGUGUGGAGGUUCAGCAUUACGAUAGAGGGUCUGGGGGGGAAAGGGGAUAUGUAAGACAUUUAGAAUUGGAAAGGGUAAUUUAGGCAUUGAGUGUUACAUUUAUACUUUUGUGUAUUUAAAUCCUGUAGUUGAUAUGGAAAGUUAAAUAGCUCCUUCUCUUUGAAUAUGGUUUUCAAGCGACGGUCUGUUCUGCAGCGUGGCUGAAAAACUCAACACGUGUGUGGGGGGGGGGGGGGGGGGUCCCUCUUCAGUAUUGAGGUCAGCUGAAGAACAAGGUUGUGACCUGACAUGCAUGUACUGUAAGUAUUUGCAGUCCUGAUGUGUGUAAUAAAGUAAAAAAGCCAUCCCAAUGAUUAUACCAAUCACUACCCAUCUGACCCAUUCAUAUGUCUGGGGGAGAUUAUACAUGAAAUACUAAAUGAGGGUU